RNAcentral lists this transfer RNA (73 nucleotides) under Bos taurus (domestic cattle). It matches the Rfam family "tRNA". Rfam says of the family: Transfer RNA (tRNA) molecules are approximately 80 nucleotides in length. RNAcentral also lists the same sequence under 5 other names. Lineage: Eukaryota; Metazoa; Chordata; Mammalia; Artiodactyla; Bovidae. The record is from Rfam by way of RNAcentral.
UCCCUGGUGGUCCAGUGGCUAAGACUCUGAGUUCCUAACAUAUGGGACCUGGGUUCGAUCCCUGGUCAGGGAA